Molecule: long non-coding RNA, 202 nt
Filed under: Mytilus galloprovincialis (Mediterranean mussel)
Lineage: Eukaryota; Metazoa; Mollusca; Bivalvia; Mytilida; Mytilidae
Source: RNAcentral
AAAACUUUAAAACUUUAACCACAGAGUGAAUGUAAUGUUUCCCCGCAGAACAAACUAAGUCCAUGAUUUAUAAGUAAAAACGGAAAAAUGGAAUUUUAUUUUACAAAAUUUACUUCUGGAUACUAUCUUAUGAUCAUAAACAAGCUUCUGUCCAAGGUUGUUAGAAAUCCAGUAUAGUUCAAUGACGACGACGACACCGACG